UAGGAUAUGGUGUACAUUGGUAGCACGAUGGAUUUUGAAUCCUUAGGAGCGGGUUCAAGACCUGCGAUUCUAG
This 73-nucleotide transfer RNA is filed under the name Lepilemur fleuretae. RNAcentral describes it as "tRNA-Gln". It matches the Rfam family "tRNA". From Rfam's summary of the family: Transfer RNA (tRNA) molecules are approximately 80 nucleotides in length. Their secondary structure includes four short double-helical elements and three loops (D, anti-codon, and T loops). Lineage: Eukaryota; Metazoa; Chordata; Mammalia; Primates; Lepilemuridae. The record is from RNAcentral.